AUUGAACGCUGGCGGCAGGCCUAACACAUGCCAGUCGAGCGGAUGAAGGGAGCUUGCUCCUGGAUUCAGCGGCGGACGGGUGAGUAAUGCCUAGGAAUCUGCCUGGUAGUGGGGGAUAACGUCCGGAAACGGGCGCUAAUACCGCAUACGUGCUGAGGGAGAAAGUGGGGGAUCUUCGGACAUCACGCUAUCAGAUGAGCCUAGGUCGGAUUAGCUAGUUGGUGGGGUAAAGGCCUACCAAGGCGACGAUCCGUAACUGGUCUGAGAGGAUGAUCAGUCACACUGGAACUGAGACACGGUCCAGACUCCUACGAGACGCAGCAGUGGGGAAUAUUGGACAAUGGGCGAAAGCCUGAUCCAGCCAUGCCGCGUGUGUGAAGAAGGUCUUCGGAUUGUAAAGCACUUUAAGUUGGGAGGAAGGGCAGUAAGUUAAUACCUUGCUGUUUUGACGUUACCAACAGAAUAAGCACCGGCUAACUUCGUG
RNAcentral lists this ribosomal RNA (484 nucleotides) under uncultured bacterium. RNAcentral describes it as "partial 16S ribosomal RNA". It matches the Rfam family "Bacterial small subunit ribosomal RNA", at positions 30 to 507 of the family's 1533-position model. The record is from RNAcentral.